UUGGAGGGCAAGUCUGGUGCCAGCAGCCGCGGUAAUUCCAGCUCCAAUAGCGUAUAUUAAAGUUGUUGUGGUUAAAAAGCUCGUAGUUGAACCUUGGGCCUGGCUGGCCGGUCCGCCUCACCGCGUGUACUGGUCCGGCCGGGCCUUUCCCUCUGUGGAACCCCAUGCCCUUCACUGGGUGUGGCGGGGGAACAGGACUUUUACUGUGAAAAAAUUAGAGUGCUCCAGGCAGGCCUAUGCUCGAAUACAUUAGCAUGGAAUAAUAGAAUAGGA
Molecule: ribosomal RNA, 273 nt
Filed under: uncultured Ascomycota
Lineage: Eukaryota; Fungi; Ascomycota
Description: partial 18S ribosomal RNA
Rfam family: Eukaryotic small subunit ribosomal RNA
Source: RNAcentral